Molecule: long non-coding RNA, 258 nt
Filed under: Mytilus galloprovincialis (Mediterranean mussel)
Lineage: Eukaryota; Metazoa; Mollusca; Bivalvia; Mytilida; Mytilidae
Source: RNAcentral
GUUUAAGGCAAAAAAUAUUGAUUGAAUCGAUUUUUCGUAAAAUUUUCCCGGUAGAUUUUUUUAAAAAACAGAUAUGUCAAAGCUAGGAACUUUUCGAGCAUUUUAAGGUAAAAUAAAAUGGGGGUCACCAGGCUUUUUAAAAAGUUACGAGCUUUUGUUUAACCCCUCUACCCCAUAAGGUCUGAUUUCAAUGCAGUCCAUUAUUUACUUAAUUGUGAAUUCUUUAUUGGUGGCUUAAAUAAAAUAAUGUUUGAAAUU